AGUGAACGCUGGCGGUAGGCCUAACACAUGCAAGUCGAACGGCAGCACAGUAAGAGCUUGCUCUUACGGGUGGCGAGUGGCGGACGGGUGAGGAAUACAUCGGAAUCUACUUUUUCGUGGGGGAUAACGUAGGGAAACUUACGCUAAUACCGCAUACGACCUACGGGUGAAAGCAGGGGAUCUUCGGACCUUGCGCGAUUGAAUGAGCCGAUGUCGGAUUAGCUAGUUGGCGGGGUAAAGGCCCACCAAGGCGACGACCCGUAGCUGGUCUGAGAGGAGGAUCGGCCACACUGGAACUGAGACACGGUCCAGACUCCUACGGGAGGCAGCAGUGGGGAAUAUUGGACAAUGGGCGCAAGCCUGAUCCAGCCAUACCGCGUGGGUGAAGAAGGCCUUCGGGUUGUAAAGCCCUUUUGUUGGGAAAGAAAAGCAGCAGGUUAAUACCCCGCUGUUCUGACGGUACCCAAAGAAUAAGCACCGGCUAACUUCGUG
RNAcentral lists this ribosomal RNA (492 nucleotides) under uncultured bacterium. RNAcentral describes it as "partial 16S ribosomal RNA". It matches the Rfam family "Bacterial small subunit ribosomal RNA", at positions 29 to 507 of the family's 1533-position model. The record is from RNAcentral.